UAAUAGAAACAGAAAAGGAAGCCUUGCGUGAACAAGACUUCCCACGUAGAGCCGUGUAAGACGGUAGCAUUAAUUAACGACUAAAAA
Non-coding RNA from Leuconostoc lactis, 87 nucleotides. Lineage: Bacteria; Bacillati; Bacillota; Bacilli; Lactobacillales; Lactobacillaceae. The record is from Rfam.